This 479-nucleotide ribosomal RNA is filed under the name Brachytarsina sp. 1 DMG-2000. Its description in RNAcentral is "Brachytarsina sp. 1 partial large subunit ribosomal RNA". It matches the Rfam family "Bacterial large subunit ribosomal RNA", at positions 1852 to 2588 of the family's 2925-position model. Lineage: Eukaryota; Metazoa; Arthropoda; Insecta; Diptera; Streblidae. The record is from RNAcentral.
GUCUAACCUGCCCACUGAUUUUUAAAUGGCCGCAGUAUAUUGACUGUGCAAAGGUAGCAUAAUCAUUAGUCUUUUAAUUGAAGGCUGGAAUGAAUGGUUGGACGAAACAUUAACUGUUUUAUAUAAAUUUAAAAUAGAAUUUUAUUUUUUAGUAAAAAAGCUAGAAUAAAUUUAAAAGACGAGAAGACCCUAUAAAUCUUUAUAUAAGUUAUAUAUAGUAAUUAUAGAAAUUAAAUUUUAUAAAUAUAUAAUGAAAUAUUUUAUUGGGGUGAUAGUAAAAUUUAAUUAACUUUUAUUAAUUUUUAUUCAUUAAUUAAUGAAUUUUUGAUCCUAUAUUAUAGAUUAAAAGAAUAAGUUACUUUAGGGAUAACAGCGUAAUUUUUUUGGAGAGUUCAUAUCGAUAAAGAAGAUUGCGACCUCGAUGUUGGAUUAAGAUUAAAUUUAGGUGCAGAAGUUUAAAUUUUAAGUCUGUCGACUUU